UGCCCCAGUAACGGCGAGUGAAGCGGCAACAGCUCAAAUUUGAAAUCUGGCCCUCGGGUCCGAGUUGUAAUUUGUAGAGGAUGCUUUUGGCGAGGUGCCUUCCGAGUUCCCUGGAACGGGACGCCAUAGAGGGUGAGAGCCCCGUCUGGUCGGACACCGAGCCUCUGUAAAGCUCCUUCAACGAGUCGAGUAGUUUGGGAAUGCUGCUCAAAAUGGGAGGUAUAUGUCUUCUAAAGCUAAAUAUUGGCCAGAGACCGAUAGCGCACAAGUAGAGUGAUCGAAAGAUGAAAAGCACUUUGAAAAGAGGGUUAAAAAGUACGUGAAAUUGUUGAAAGGGAAGCGCCUAUGACCAGACUUGCGCCCGGUGAAUCAUCCAGCGUUCUCGCUGGUGCACUUUGCCGGGCACAGGCCAGCAUCAGUUUGGCGCGGGGGAAAAAGGCUUCGGGAAUGUGGCUCCCUCGGGAGUGUUAUAGCCCGCUGCGUAAUACCCUGCGCCGGACUGAGGUACGCGCAUCGCAAGGAUGCUGGCGUAAUGGUCAUCAGCGACCCGUCUUGAAACACGGACCAAGGAGUCGUCUUCGUAUGCGAGUGUUCGGGUGUCAAACCCCUACGCGUAAUGAAAGUGAACGCAGGUGAGAGCUUCGGCGCAUCAUCGACCGAUCCUGAUGUUCUCGGAUGGAUUUGAGUAAGAGCAUACGGGGCCGGACCCGAAAGAAGGUGAACUAUGCCUGUAUAGGGUGAAGCCAGAGGAAACUCUGGUGGAGGCUCGCAGCGGUUCUGACGUG
RNAcentral lists this ribosomal RNA (785 nucleotides) under Beauveria sp. RNAcentral's name for it is "partial large subunit ribosomal RNA". It matches the Rfam family "Eukaryotic large subunit ribosomal RNA", at positions 76 to 893 of the family's 3401-position model. Lineage: Eukaryota; Fungi; Ascomycota; Sordariomycetes; Hypocreales; Cordycipitaceae. The record is from RNAcentral.